AUUAUAACAAGAUAAGUUAAGGGAUAGUCGUCAAAAUUUAUCCCUUUAUAGACCCAUCGGCAAGAUAUGGGCUUGACAUCCUUCGGCUUAAGAACCAAGUCCCAUGUCUGAUUUUGUUACAUUAAUUGCUUCUUCCAUCGCCUUUCACCAAUUAUUAUUGUUGUAUAAUUCUAUGAAGGUAGUUGGCUCCUUAAUUUUAUCUACUUCAGCAUAUGCAGCAUUAACGUACCUUAGAUUUGGACACUUUACUAGAUCUUUGAAGUUGAGGUUCUGCUUGUUCAACUUUCUCAUGUUGGCUCGGACGAAUAUCUUCAGGUGUCUCAUGAUGUACACUUGUUUGCCAUGGGCUUUUAAAUCGUUCUAAAUCAUUCUUAAUUUUGUGAGUUGGACUGUUCUCCAUCAUCAAUGGUUGGCCCUUCGUCAGCUGCCUUUUGAACGCCGUCUUUUUUAUCUUGUUCUUCCUCAUCCAGUUUUUCAUGUAGCUUAUCUUCUAGUUCCUUAGAGUCAGGCAGCGCCACUUCUUCUGGAGAUCACCAUGAUGAUAUUUCAUCAAAGACAACAUUUCUUGAAACGUAGCAUCAGCCGGUAGUGGGAUCAUAGCAUCUCCAACCUUUUCGUACAUCAUCGUAACUCACAAAGAUACAUCGUCAUGCCUUUUUAUCGAACUUACUACGUAAGUGAUCAGGCACGGACACAUAGCAAACGCACCCGAAGACGUUCAGGUGACUGACUGUGGGCUUAUAAUUCCAUAGCUUCUCGAAUGGGGAGUUGAAGCCUAGCUUUGGUUGUGGCAAACGAUUGGUGAUAUA
This 809-nucleotide unclassified non-coding RNA is filed under the name Hevea brasiliensis (rubber tree). Lineage: Eukaryota; Viridiplantae; Streptophyta; Magnoliopsida; Malpighiales; Euphorbiaceae. The record is from RNAcentral.